AAACUUACCUGGCAGGAGAGAUACCUGAUCGCGAAGGUGGUUUUCCCAGGGUGAGGUUUAUCUAUUGCACUUUGGAUGUGCUGACCCCUGUGACUUCCCCAAAUGUGGGAAACUCAACUGCAUAACUUGUGGUAGUGGGGGACUGUGUUAGCACUUUCUCCUG
Small nuclear RNA from Herpailurus yagouaroundi (jaguarundi), 163 nucleotides. RefSeq annotates it as U1 spliceosomal RNA. The transcript has a single exon. Lineage: Eukaryota; Metazoa; Chordata; Mammalia; Carnivora; Felidae. The record is from RefSeq and is a predicted model, not a curated record.